This 1247-nucleotide ribosomal RNA is filed under the name Sugarcane whiteleaf phytoplasma. RNAcentral's name for it is "bacterial SSU rRNA". It matches the Rfam family "Bacterial small subunit ribosomal RNA", at positions 153 to 1399 of the family's 1533-position model. The record is from RNAcentral. Lineage: Bacteria; Bacillati; Mycoplasmatota; Mollicutes; Acholeplasmatales; Acholeplasmataceae.
GAAACAGUUGCUAAGACUGGAUAGGAAAUAAAAAGGCAUCUUUUUAUUUUUAAAAGACCUUUUUCGGAAGGUAUGCUUAAAGAGGGGCUUGCGUCACAUUAGUUAGUUGGCAGGGUAAAGGCCUACCAAGACUAUGAUGUGUAGCUGGACUGAGAGGUUGAACAGCCACAUUGGGACUGAGACACGGCCCAAACUCCUACGGGAGGCAGCAGUAGGGAAUUUUCGGCAAUGGAGGAAACUCUGACCGAGCAACGCCGCGUGAACGAUGAAGUAUUUCGGUAUGUAAAGUUCUUUUAUUGAAGAAGAAAAAAUAGUGGAAAAACUAUCUUGACGAUAUUCAAUGAAUAAGCCCCGGCAAACUAUGUGCCAGCAGCCGCGGUAAUACAUAGGGGGCGAGCGUUAUCCGGAAUUAUUGGGCGUAAAGGGUGCGUAGGCGGUUUAAUAAGUCUAUAGUUUAAUUUCAGUGCUUAACACUGUCCUGCUAUAGAAACUAUUAGACUAGAGUGAGAUAGAGGCAAGUGGAAUUCCAUGUGUAGCGGUAAAAUGCGUAAAUAUAUGGAGGAACACCAGAGGCGUAGGCGGCUUGCUGGGUCUUUACUGACGCUGAGGCACGAAAGCGUGGGGAGCAAACAGGAUUAGAUACCCUGGUAGUCCACGCUGUAAACGAUGAGUACUAAGUGUCGGGAUUACUCGGUACUGAAGUUAACACAUUAAGUACUCCGCCUGAGUAGUACGUACGCAAGUAUGAAACUUAAAGGAAUUGACGGGACUCCGCACAAGCGGUGGAUCAUGUUGUUUAAUUCGAAGAUACACGAAAAACCUUACCAGGUCUUGACAUACUCUGCAAAGCUAUAGCAAUAUAGUGGAGGUUAUCAGGGAUACAGGUGGUGCAUGGUUGUCGUCAGCUCGUGUCGUGAGAUGUUAGGUUAAGUCCUAAAACGAGCGCAACCCUUGUCAUUAGUUGCCAGCAUGUCAUGAUGGGCACUUUAAUGAGACUGCCAAUGAAAAAUUGGAGGAAGGUGAGGAUCACGUCAAAUCAUCAUGCCCCUUAUGAUCUGGGCUACAAACGUGAUACAAUGGCUGUUACAAAGAGUAGCUGAAACGCAAGUUUAUAGCCAAUCUCAUAAAAGCAGUCUCAGUUCGGAUUGAAGUCUGCAACUCGACUUCAUGAAGUUGGAAUCGCUAGUAAUCGCGAAUCAGCAUGUCGCGGUGAAUACGUUCUCGGGGUUUGUACACACCGCCCGUCA